UGUCUUCUUGCGGCCAGUGGCGCCCCUGAUGAGAACAGCAAAGUGUGUUUCUUCUAGUCCGUGUUCUAUUUCAAGUGGUUUGUUUCUGCUUAAUUUUUGCUUCCUUACAAGUGAAUGAGAGCUUAAUUCUGCAGAGAAAAGAAGGGCCUGACAAACAGUGACUGCUGAGGGGCAGUCAAGUCUCCCCCUGCUACCGUGUUCAUUGAAAAAUACAUCACAUGGAAAAUACACCGAGGUCUGCUGGCCUGGCUUUAUGAAGUAGCUGUGUGCAGUGAAUGUUCCUGGCUGUGGCAGCGGUGAAGUUCAUCAAAGUGAAGAUCAGCAUCUGUCAUGUACUUUUGCCAUACAGAUUCUACACAAGCAUAUAGCCAAGCGAGUAUGAGCUCAGCCUUCUAAAACUAGGCCUGGAGUCAAUAGUGGUGAAGAUGACAUAGCAACAGUCACAGAGCCUUGGCGGCCGAAGCAGGAAGCUGAGCGCUCACAUCUCAACCAUCCACAGGAAGCGACAAAAAUGCCAGCAGAUCAUGCCUCGCUCUGCGAUCAUUAGAGAAGCUUCCUCCUACAGUAGAUGGAAACAAAUCCAGAGAUCCAUAACUGGGAAAUGUCCAGAGAGUGAGUGCCUUAGAACAUUCAGUUCUACACGGAAUGUCUCCAUUAAAUCCCUCACCUCGGGGCUCGGGGAACUCUAGAGAAGAGGAUUCCGAAAGAUUGUGAGAACCUGGGGAGAUGGAACACAUCAAAGAAAUGAGUCUUCUAGACACAACAGAACCGACACACGUGUGAAUCCUGAGAGACAUCGUGUGAGCUGAGAGAGACUGUGGUGGCAUGCACAGGGCCUGCACAGGGCUAAGCCAGAUGGGAUCUCGAUGCUGAGAGGGGAAGAAGACGCAACCCAGAAGCUAUCACCCAAAUUGAUAGCUUCUCAGGAAAGUGAAAUUAGUUUCCUAAAACUGAGUCUCACUCAAUAUACAGCCACAGGGCGGGCCCGUGCCCAACAGUAGAUGAUUAGCCCAAAAGAAACUCAGUAGU
This is a long non-coding RNA of Microtus oregoni (creeping vole), 1029 nucleotides long. RefSeq lists it as uncharacterized. NCBI's taxonomy places the organism in Eukaryota, Metazoa, Chordata, Mammalia, Rodentia, Cricetidae. The transcript is spliced from 4 exons. The record is from RefSeq and is a predicted model, not a curated record.